ACSGAGCAACGCCGCGUGAGUGAAGAAGGUYUUCGGAUCGUAAAACUCUGUUGUGAGAGAAGAACGRRUAUGAGAGUGGAAAGYYCAUAUCGUGACGGUAUCUCACCAGUAAGGGACGGCUAACUACGUGCCAGCAGCCGCGGUAACUACGUAGGUCCCGAGCGUUGUCCGGAUUUAUUGGGCGUAAAGCGAGUCGCAGGUGGUUAUCUUAAGUGGGGUGUAAAAKGCAUGUGGCUCAACCAUUGUGCUGCAUUCCAAACUGUGAGACUUGAGUGCAGCAGAGGAGAGUSGAAUUCCAUGUGUAGCGGUGAAAUUCGUAGAUAUAUGGAGGAACACCGAUGCGAAAGCGGCUCUCUUGUCUGUAACUUACACU
Molecule: ribosomal RNA, 373 nt
Filed under: Lactococcus sp.
Lineage: Bacteria; Bacillati; Bacillota; Bacilli; Lactobacillales; Streptococcaceae
Description: partial 16S ribosomal RNA
Rfam family: Bacterial small subunit ribosomal RNA
Source: RNAcentral